RNAcentral lists this ribosomal RNA (429 nucleotides) under Chloroflexota bacterium. RNAcentral's name for it is "Chloroflexi bacterium partial 16S ribosomal RNA". It matches the Rfam family "Bacterial small subunit ribosomal RNA", at positions 355 to 776 of the family's 1533-position model. Lineage: Bacteria; Bacillati; Chloroflexota. The record is from RNAcentral.
UGGGGAAUAUUGCACAAUGGGCGCAAGCCUGAUGCAGCCAUGCCGCGUGUAUGAAGAAGGCCUUCGGGUUGUAAAGUACUUUCAGUCGGGAGGAAGGUGGUAAGGUUAAUAACCUUAUCAAUUGACGUUACCGACAGAAGAAGCACCGGCUAACUCCGUGCCAGCAGCCGCGGUAAUACGGAGGGUGCAAGCGUUAAUCGGAAUUACUGGGCGUAAAGCGCACGCAGGCGGUUGAUUGAGUCAGAUGUGAAAUCCCCGGGCUUAACCCGGGAAUUGCAUCUGAUACUGGUCAGCUAGAGUCUUGUAGAGGGGGGUAGAAUUCCAUGUGUAGCGGUGAAAUGCGUAGAGAUCUGGAGGAAUACCGGUGGCGAAGGCGGCCCCCUGUACGAAGACUGACGCUCAGGUGCGAAAGCGUGGGGAGCAAACAGG